GCGGGAUAGAGCAGCGGCAGCUCGCCUGGCUCGCCACGGCCAGGAGGUCGGCGGUUCAAAUCCGCCUCCCGCACCA
This 76-nucleotide transfer RNA is filed under the name Methylosinus sp. H3A. Its description in RNAcentral is "tRNA-Ala". It matches the Rfam family "tRNA". From Rfam's summary of the family: Transfer RNA (tRNA) molecules are approximately 80 nucleotides in length. Their secondary structure includes four short double-helical elements and three loops (D, anti-codon, and T loops). Lineage: Bacteria; Pseudomonadati; Pseudomonadota; Alphaproteobacteria; Hyphomicrobiales; Methylocystaceae. The record is from RNAcentral.